Molecule: long non-coding RNA, 787 nt
Filed under: Ananas comosus (pineapple)
Lineage: Eukaryota; Viridiplantae; Streptophyta; Magnoliopsida; Poales; Bromeliaceae
Description: long non-coding RNA (ACOM_LNC014282)
Source: RNAcentral
UGUAAUAUUUUUGUUGUAAUCGUGGAAAAAUUCUAGAAUGCAACGGUUAUAUUAGUGACGUGGCGUAACAAACCAAUCAAAUUAAUCCUUUUAAGAAUAUAUGUUCCAUCAUGAUUGUAAAAAAGUAUUUUUAUUGUACUUUUGUUUAAAAAGAAGGAAUGUGAUUGACUUGUUAUUGAUGACGUGGUGCAAGUGUGACAGUGUAGAAUUCCUCGUAAUCAUGCGGAGUUACAUUAUUUUUUUAAGAGAGAAAGUUAAUAUAGUACUUGCGUUUUUAUUUUUUAUAAAUAAAUUUAGUUGAAAAUAUAAAGUAAUAUCAUUUUGAAUUUAAAAACUGAGAUAUCAAUAAUUAAGUCUUUUGCCACUUGCGCUUGGGACAAUCGAUCAGGAGUUGUAUUGUUAAUAAUUUUAUAUUAUCGACAGAAUUAAUUUUAUGCAGUGGUAAUAUAAAAAGAUUCAUAAAAAAUGGCAAAUAAUUAUGAUAGAGUAACGCAAAACCAAACAUGCCCUAAUUUUAGUGAAAUAGUAGUUGGGGGAUAAGCGGGGAUAACGAAAUUUAUUCCCGCUAUUCCGCCAAACGGGGUGAAAUUUGGCCGGGAUAUUUUAUCCCGGUCAAACCUUGCUAUUCCCGGUUAUUUCGGAAUAGCAAGAGAUUUGCUAUUCCACCAUUUUGGUGGAAUAACACUAUUCCAAUGCUUAAUUUCAAACUUAAUUAAAAUUAUAAAUUGAAUUAAAACUAAAUUAUAUAAAUAUAAUAUGUUAUAUAUUAUAAUACAAUAUUUUUAUU